GGGCCGCUGGGGGUCUAGCCGACAGGGCUCGCCCGCCGCCUGAACCCCGCCUACGGUGGGUCCCGCAGGACCUCACUGCGCCCUCUGCCUUUAUCUGGGCAGGGCUAGAAAUGGUCUACUUGCAGUCCGUCUUCAUGCUUCAUCCGGUGGCCAGGCAGAGGGAACGGCACGGGCAAGGACCUGGAAGGGAAUCCGAGUGGCCCAUGUCAAACGAUGCCCAUAACUCAGCCCCGUAGCGGACGGGGGCACGAGGAAUCAGAUGGAGAAACUGAGGCCAGAAGAGGCGAGCUUACCUGCCCAAGGCAUCUAGUGACCAGAGGGGCAGCCAGGGUGUGAUCCUGCCUCAUCUGACUUCGUAGUUGGGUACACAUUUAACUUCCGCCUUCCUGUGUGUGUUUUCCAAGAGCAUCAUUAAAAAGUUUUGGCCGGGUGCGGUGGCUCACGCGUGUAAUCCCAGCACUUUGGGAGGCCGACGUGAGUAGAUCACCUGAGGUCAGGAUUUCGAGACCAGCCUGGCCAACAUGGCAAAACCCUGUCUCUACUAAAAAAAAAUACAAAAAUUGGCUGGGUGCGGUGGCUCAC
RNAcentral lists this long non-coding RNA (582 nucleotides) under Pan troglodytes (chimpanzee). RNAcentral's name for it is "long non-coding RNA NONPTRT008020". Lineage: Eukaryota; Metazoa; Chordata; Mammalia; Primates; Hominidae. The record is from RNAcentral.